Long non-coding RNA from Oreochromis aureus, 1820 nucleotides. NCBI's taxonomy places the organism in Eukaryota, Metazoa, Chordata, Actinopteri, Cichliformes, Cichlidae. The record is from Ensembl.
GUGAUCCUUUUUGGAAGUUUUCUUAUUUUUUAUUCUCAUUUCUACUAUUCGCUGCCCGGUGUUGUCGAUUACUCCUCGACCUUAAUAAAAGUUGCACUUACAGCCCCGAUGGGAAAGAGGGAGCGUGAAGACACCCAGAUGUCCAAGAAGAUGCCAACUUCCCCAUUUGACUACAGUAGUUCAGAUGAUGCUUCCAAUCAGGUUCCAUCAAAUAGCCAGGACUAUUUCAGCAACAGACCUUCAGAGACAACAAGUAACCCUUACAGGCUGUACCCCAACAGACCUCAACAGACAACAAGUAACCCUGACAGGCUGUACCCCAACAGACCUCAACAGACAACAAGUAACCCUUACAGGCUGUACCCCAACAGACCUCAACAGACAACAAGUAACCCUUACAGGCUGUACCCCAACAGACCUCAACAGACAACAAGUAACCCUGACAGGCUGUAUCCCAACAGACCUCCACAGACAACAAGUAACGAGUACAGCCAGUUCAACAAUCAGCAGGUCCAGAGCAGCAGUGCCUCCACAGAUGAUCCGAAUCAUGUCCGGCUCAUAAACCACCUUCAGUUCAACAGCAGACCCCAACAAACAACAAUAACAGGGCAAGAGGCGGAUGUGAUCCACCUGCAGCUGCUGUGCACAGCGAGCGGUUUGGAGAUUCAGGUAAACCAGUGGUUGGAGAGAGGUGGAAAACUGGAAGAAUCUGGAACUGGUUCUACAAAUAUUCACACAAAAGAUCAAACUCUGUAGUAGAGUUUUGCACUUGGGGAUUUCCUUGUUCGGCCAAGAAGAAGACUGCCAUGUUUGUGGUCUGCAACGGGAUUACAUUCAAGACAUCACUCAUGAUUUUGUCUACUCUUUUUGGACAUGAAUGGACCUCCCUUACUAAAUGCACAUGAUGCACUUUGAGUAAUAUGAUAUAGGUGCUUCUCUGUGUUAUUUAUCUAUGACCUGAGUAAUGCAGUAAUAUUCCCUGAUCAGUUUAAAGUACAAUAAAAUGGUCUCACGUUUAAGCUCUCUGUUUGAUUUGGUUUUACUUUGCACAUGAUACAAAUCACACAGAAAGUAAGUGAACACAAAACAAACGUGUGCCGAAUCAACUAAAUGACACAAUCUGAAAGAAAAAAAAGAUAAAAAACCUAUAAAGCAAAAUUAAACACUGACCAGUUUUAAGGCUUUUUAUUUUCUGUACAUACAACAUUUUACAAAAGCACGAAAUCCAGAUUUUUAAUCACGACUUAAAAACAUAAAGAGGAUAAAAAAUGACAUGCAUCAUCUGUACGUUGCUGUAUUUGACACUCUUCUCCAUGCAGUUAAUUAAAACGUUAAAAUAAAUACACUAUUUUCUAUUUUAUCAGCAUUAACAAAAUGAAUCAAUUAACAGUAAAUUUGCACGAUGGAGUUGAGCAGUCGAUUAAUGUUUGACUUUCUGUCACACUUCAUCGAGGUAAUGGCCAUUGAUUGGUGGAGAAACAUCAGCGCUGCCAUGAAUUAUAAAAACAAUCUAAUACAUAACAGAAGAACAGAACAGGGAUGUAAAAUGCAUAAGAAUUUACUUUUCUCUUUGCUUUUUCUGAGUAAUAAAAAUAUAUCUCUACCAUUUACUGUUUAGGAAGCAUCUAAAUAAGAAGAGAAGCAGUUAUUAAGAUAACAGGAUUUGAUCUUUAUCUAAUGCAGAUCACGUGACUUUUUUAAGACUACAGAGGAAAAUUAAAGAGAAGCGAGUCUAGUAUCGUUUAGUGCUUUUUAAAGCAUGUUUCAGUUUCUUAUGUAAAUAUGUAGUUUCAUUGAUUGAUCACAUCCUGUGUUUAUCA